GAUGAACGCUGGCGGCGUGCCUAACACAUGCAAGUCGAACGAAGCACCUUUUAAGAUUCUUCGGAUGAUUGAUUGGUGACUGAGUGGCGGACGGGUGAGUAACGCGUGGGUAACCUGCGCUGUACAGGGGGAUAACAGUUGGAAACGGCUGCUAAUACCGCAUAAGCGCACGAGAGGACAUCCUCUUGUGUGAAAAACUCCGGUGGUACAGGAUGGGCCCGCGUCUGCUUAGCUGUUGGUAGGGUAACGGCCUACCAAGGCGACGAUCAGUAGCCGGUCUGUGAGGAUGAACGGCCACAUUGGAACUGGGACACGGUCCAAACUCCUACGGGAGGCAGCAGUGGGGAAUAUUGCACAAUGGGGGAAACCCUGAUGCAGCAACGCCGCGUGAGUGAGGAAGUAUUUCGGUAUGUAAAGCUCUAUCAGCAGGGAAGAUAAUGACGGUACCUGACUAAGAAGCUCCGGCUAAAUACGUGCCAGCCGCCGCGGUAA
RNAcentral lists this ribosomal RNA (492 nucleotides) under uncultured bacterium. RNAcentral's name for it is "partial 16S ribosomal RNA". It matches the Rfam family "Bacterial small subunit ribosomal RNA", at positions 28 to 523 of the family's 1533-position model. The record is from RNAcentral.